This 253-nucleotide ribosomal RNA is filed under the name uncultured prokaryote. RNAcentral's name for it is "partial 16S ribosomal RNA". It matches the Rfam family "Bacterial small subunit ribosomal RNA", at positions 524 to 776 of the family's 1533-position model. The record is from RNAcentral.
UACGGGGGGGGCAAGCGUUGUUCGGAAUUACUGGGCGUAAAGGGUGCGUAGGCGGUCUGUUAAGUUGGAUGUGAAAACUCUGGGCUCAACCCAGAGCCUGCAUCCAAAACUGGCAGGCUAGAGUUCUGGAGGGGGUAGCGGAAUUCCUGGUGUAGCGGUGAAAUGCGUAGAUAUCAGGAGGAACACCGGUGGUGUAGACGGCUUUCUGGACCGUAACUGACGCUGAGACACGAAAGCGUGGGUAGCAAACAGG